UGAACGCUAGCGGCAGGCUUAAUACAUGCAAGUCGAGGGGUAGCAUGAGUAGCAAUACUUGAUGACGACCGGCAAACGGGUGCGGAACACGUACGCAACCUUCCCAUAACUGGUGAAUAGCCUUCCGAAAGGGAGAUUAAUACACCGUAACAUAACGAAGCGGCAUCGCUUUGUUAUUAUAGGCUUCGGCCGGUUUUGGAUGGGCGUGCGCCUGAUUAGGUAGUUGGCGGGGUAACGGCCCACCAAGCCUGCGAUCAGUAACUGGUGUGAGAGCACGACCAGUCACACGGGCACUGAGACACGGGCCCGACUCCUACGGGAGGCAGCAGUAAGGAAUAUUGGUCAAUGGACGAAAGUCUGAACCAGCCAUGCCGCGUGAAGGAUGAAGGCCCUUUGGGUUGUAAACUUCUUUUAUCUGGGUCGAAAAAAGCUCAUUCUUGAGCACUUGACGGUACCAGAGGAAUAAGCACCGGCUAACUCCGUGCCAGCAGCCGCGGUAAUACGGAGGGUGCAAGCGUUAUCCGGAUUCACUGGGUUUAAAGGGUGCGUAGGUGGGUCUGUAAGUCAGUGGUGAAAUCUCCGAGCUUAACUCGGAAACUGCCAUUGAUACUAUAGGUCUUGAAUCAUCUGGAGGUAAGCGGAAUAUGUCAUGUAGCGGUGAAAUGCUUAGAUAUGACAUAGAACGCCAAUUGCGAAGGCAGCUUACUACGGGUGUAUUGACACUGAGGCACGAAAGCGUGGGGAUC
Molecule: ribosomal RNA, 746 nt
Filed under: uncultured soil bacterium
Lineage: Bacteria
Description: bacterial SSU rRNA
Rfam family: Bacterial small subunit ribosomal RNA
Source: RNAcentral